UACGUGAAACCGUUGAAAGGGAAGCGAAUGGAGUUAGCAAUUCGCCCUGCCAGAUUCAGCAGCUCGCGCGCAGCGACGCACGCGCUCUCGAUCCGCAUGGACGAGGCGUGUGCGGGUGCGGCGUGCGGUCUGCGCACUUCUGGCGAGCGAGCGUCAGCGUCGGUUGCCGACGUGCAACAAGGACGCGGGGAAGGUGGACAGGUCCUUGCGGCCUGUUGUUAUAGCCCCGCGCUCGCAUGGCUCGACGGCGACCGAGGCUUCC
Molecule: ribosomal RNA, 262 nt
Filed under: Echinogorgia sp. c NF-2020
Lineage: Eukaryota; Metazoa; Cnidaria; Anthozoa; Malacalcyonacea; Plexauridae
Description: partial large subunit ribosomal RNA
Source: RNAcentral